RNAcentral lists this ribosomal RNA (432 nucleotides) under Appias drusilla. Its description in RNAcentral is "partial 12S ribosomal RNA". Lineage: Eukaryota; Metazoa; Arthropoda; Insecta; Lepidoptera; Pieridae. The record is from RNAcentral.
AAAAAAUUAAAACAAAUUACUAAAAUAGUAUAUAAUUAUUUAUUGAAACUUAAAUAAUUUGGCGGUAUUUUAGUUCAUUUAGAGGAAUCUGUCUAGUAAUUGAUAAUCCACGAAUAAUUAUAUUUAAUUUAAAAUUUUAUAUAUCGUUGUUAAAAAAAUAUUUUUAAAUAAAAAUAAUAUUUUAAAAUUUAGAAAUAAAAUUAAUUCAGAUCAAGAUGUAGAUAAUAAUUAAAAUAAGGAUGGAUUACAAUAUAUUUAUAUAAAUGGAUAAUAAUUUUGAAAUAAUUAUUUGAAAGUGGAUUUAAAUGUAAUUUUAUUUAAUUUAAUAAAAUGAUUAAAAAUUGAAAUAUGUACAUAUUGCCCGUCACUUUCAUUUAAAAAUUGAAAUAAGUCGUAACAAAGUAGGGGUACUGGAAAGUGUUCCUAGAAAGA